GGGCCGUUGGCUUAAUUGGUUAAAGCUACCGGCUCAUAACCGGUUGAUUACAGGUUCGAGUCCUGUACGGCCCACCA
This 77-nucleotide transfer RNA is filed under the name Caudoviricetes sp. RNAcentral's name for it is "tRNA-Met". It matches the Rfam family "tRNA". From Rfam's summary of the family: Transfer RNA (tRNA) molecules are approximately 80 nucleotides in length. Their secondary structure includes four short double-helical elements and three loops (D, anti-codon, and T loops). Further hydrogen bonds mediate the characteristic L-shaped molecular structure. tRNAs have two regions of fundamental functional importance: the anti-codon, which is responsible for specific mRNA codon recognition, and the 3' end, to which the tRNAs corresponding amino acid is attached (by aminoacyl-tRNA synthetases). tRNAs cope with the degeneracy of the genetic code in two manners: having more than one tRNA (with a specific anti-codon) for a particular amino acid; and 'wobble' base-pairing, i.e. permitting non-standard base-pairing at the 3rd anti-codon position. The record is from RNAcentral. Lineage: Duplodnaviria; Heunggongvirae; Uroviricota; Caudoviricetes.